Molecule: transfer RNA, 81 nt
Organism: Rhizoctonia solani AG-1 IA
Lineage: Eukaryota; Fungi; Basidiomycota; Agaricomycetes; Cantharellales; Ceratobasidiaceae
Rfam family: tRNA
About the family: Transfer RNA (tRNA) molecules are approximately 80 nucleotides in length.
Source: Rfam
GGCCGCCUGGCGAAAUGGUAUCGCGUCUGACUACGAUAUGUAUCCAUCAGGAGAUUGCAGGUUCGAGCCCUGCGGUGGUCA